This 797-nucleotide non-coding RNA is filed under the name Carcinocoris binghami. The record is from RNAcentral. Lineage: Eukaryota; Metazoa; Arthropoda; Insecta; Hemiptera; Phymatidae.
UUGUUGGUUUUUGAAGAAUAAUUUUGAUGUUUGAUUCUAGCUUAAACUUAAUUUUUAAAAAUGUUAACUUAACAUGUGAGUUUUUACGUGAUAAAAAUGUCUAAAAGGACAAUAUAAUUAUUCGCAGUUUUUAAUUUUAAAUUAUAGCUCAUGCUAGAUUUAGUUUUGUGUUAUUAGUCUUAACCAAUUUUGUGCCAGCAGUUGCGGUUAUACAAUUAAGGCAAGGAAAUUUUUUAGGCUUGUAUUAAAAUGACUAUAAUAAUAUUGGUCGAGUAUUUGACUUAUUAAGUGAAAUUUUAUUUCUGUAUGUCGGCCAUGGUCCAUAAUAUAAGAAAAUCAGAGUUUAGACUAGGAUUAGAUACCCUAUUAUUUUGAUUGUGAUAUAUAAUCAGCCUUAAUAUUAAUAGUUAUGAUCUUUAAACUAAAAGAAUUUGGCGGUAAUUUAAUCUUGUUAGAGGAACCUGUCCUGUAAUUGAUAAUCCACGUUGAAUGUUACUUUAUCUAUAGCUUGUAUACCUCUGUCACUGAAUGUCUUAUUAGGGGUAUUAUAUUUUCUGAUACUUAUAUUUAGGUUUAUGGUAGGUCAAGGUUCAGCAAUGAUAAAGAAGAGAUGGGUUACAUUAUAAUUAUUUAUGAAUAUGAAUAUGUAAUAUGUUAUUGAAAUUGGAUUUAAGAGUAAUGUUUUUUAGAAAAAAAAGAUGAUUUUAGCUCUAAAUUAUGCACAUAUCGCCCGUCAUUCCUAUAAUAAAUAGGACAAGUCGUAACAAAGUAAGGCUAUCGGAAGAUGGUCUUAGUAG